UGGGGAAUAUUGCACAAUGGGGGAAACCCUGAUGCAGCGACGCCGCGUGAACGAAGAAGGUAUUCGUAUCGUAAAGUUCUGUCCUAUGGGAAGAUAAUGACAGUACCAUAGAAGAAAGCUCCGGCUAAAUACGUGCCAGCAGCCGCGGUAAUACGUAUGGAGCGAGCGUUGUCCGGAAUUAUUGGGCGUAAAGGGUACGCAGGCGGUUUAAUAAGUCGAAUGUUAAAGAUCGGGGCUCAACCCCGCAAAGCAUUGGAAACUGAUAAACUUGAGUAGUGGAGAGGAAAGUGGAAUUCCUAGUGUAGUGGUGAAAUACGUAGAUAUUAGGAGGAAUACCAGUAGCGAAGGCGACGUUCUGGACACAAACUGACGCUGAGGUACGAUAGCGUGGGGAGCAAACAGG
This 403-nucleotide ribosomal RNA is filed under the name bacterium. RNAcentral describes it as "partial 16S ribosomal RNA". It matches the Rfam family "Bacterial small subunit ribosomal RNA", at positions 355 to 776 of the family's 1533-position model. The record is from RNAcentral.